This 460-nucleotide ribosomal RNA is filed under the name uncultured bacterium. Its description in RNAcentral is "partial 16S ribosomal RNA". It matches the Rfam family "Bacterial small subunit ribosomal RNA", at positions 338 to 795 of the family's 1533-position model. The record is from RNAcentral.
CCUACGGGUGGCUGCAGUGAGGAAUAUUGGUCAAUGGCCGGAAGGCUGAACCAGCCAAGUCGCGUGAGGGAAUAAGGCCCUAUGGGUCGUAAACCUCUUUUGUCAGGGAGCAAAGGCGUCCACGUGUGGACGAGAGGAGAGUACCUGAAGUAAAAGCAUCGGCUAACUCCGUGCCAGCAGCCGCGGUAAUACGUAGGAUGCGAGCGUUAUCCGGAUUUAUUGGGUUUAAAGGGUGCGUAGGCGGGCCUUCAGGCCGGCGGUAAAAUGGCGGGGCUCAACCCCGCCACGCCGUCGGAACCGGGGGCCUUGAGUACCGGAGAAGUACGCGGAAUGCGUGGUGGAGCGGUGAAAUGCAUAGAUAUCACGCAGAACCCCGAUGGCGAAGGCAGCGUACCGGCCGGUCACUGACGCUGAGGCACGAAAGCGCGGGUAUCGAACAGGAUUAGAUACCCUAGUAGUC